RNAcentral lists this transfer RNA (72 nucleotides) under Candidatus Gottesmanbacteria bacterium. RNAcentral describes it as "tRNA-Ile". It matches the Rfam family "tRNA". From Rfam's summary of the family: Transfer RNA (tRNA) molecules are approximately 80 nucleotides in length. Their secondary structure includes four short double-helical elements and three loops (D, anti-codon, and T loops). Lineage: Bacteria; Candidatus Gottesmaniibacteriota. The record is from RNAcentral.
GGGCAGGUAGUUCAGUGGUGGAACGCUACACUGAUAAUGUAGAAGUCGAAGGUUCAAUCCCUUCCCUGCCCA